AUCCCACUUCUUAAAGUCAGAACAACACUCAAGAAUCUAAACAAUGGUGAGAAACCAAGGUUCGGAGCAAUCAAUAGAUCACUAAAAUCAAGUCUGAAUGCGCCAUUUUCCCCCAAAGUACCAUCAUAGUUAAGAUUUAUAGCUCAGUUCUAUGUUCCAAGUUUAAGCACUAUGCGAGUUACUAAUGACAAUACACUAAGCAAGUUUCUUUUGACAACCAAGGUCAACCAAAUUAACCACUAUGCAGAAGGUG
Molecule: long non-coding RNA, 253 nt
Filed under: Hordeum vulgare
Lineage: Eukaryota; Viridiplantae; Streptophyta; Magnoliopsida; Poales; Poaceae
Description: long non-coding RNA (HVUL_LNC013838)
Source: RNAcentral